GAUGAACGCUGGCGGCGUGCCUAAUACAUGCAAGUCGAGCGAACAGACGAGGAGCUUGCUCCUCUGACGUUAGCGGCGGACGGGUGAGUAACACGUGGAUAACCUACCUAUAAGACUGGGAUAACUUCGGGAAACCGGAGCUAAUACCGGAUAAUAUAUUGAACCGCAUGGUUCAAUAGUGAAAGACGGUUUUGCUGUCACUUAUAGAUGGAUCCGCGCCGCAUUAGCUAGUUGGUAAGGUAACAGCUUACCAAGGCAACGAUGCGUAGCCGACCUGAGAGGGUGAUCGGCCACACUGGAACUGAGACACGGUCCAGACUCCUACGGGAGGCAGCAGUAGGGAAUCUUCCGCAAUGGGCGAAAGCCUGACGGAGCAACGCCGCGUGAGUGAUGAAGGUCUUCGGAUCGUAAAACUCUGUUAUUAGGGAAGAACAAAUGUGUAAGUAACUAUGCACGUCUUGACGGUAUCUAAUCAGAAAGCCACGGCUAACUACGUG
This 497-nucleotide ribosomal RNA is filed under the name uncultured bacterium. RNAcentral's name for it is "partial 16S ribosomal RNA". It matches the Rfam family "Bacterial small subunit ribosomal RNA", at positions 28 to 507 of the family's 1533-position model. The record is from RNAcentral.